UACGUAGGUGGCAAGCGUUGUCCGGAUUUACUGGGCGUAAAGGGUGUGUAGGCGGAUAUUUAAGUAGAAAGUGAAAGGUUGGAGCUCAACUCCAACACUGCUUCCUAUACUGGAUGUCUUGAGUUUCGGAGAGGAAGAUGGAACGACACGUGUAGCGGUGAAAUGCGUUGAUAUGUGUCGGAACACCAAUGGCGAAGGCAAUCUUCUGGACGAACACUGACGCUGAGACACGAAAGCGUGGGUAGCGAACAGG
Molecule: ribosomal RNA, 253 nt
Filed under: uncultured bacterium
Lineage: Bacteria
Description: partial 16S ribosomal RNA
Rfam family: Bacterial small subunit ribosomal RNA
Source: RNAcentral